GCUGGGCGUGGUGGCGUACUCCUGUAAUCCCAGCUACUCAGGAGGCUGAGGUGGGAGAAUUGCUUGAACCCAGGAGGUGGAGGUUGCAGUGAGCCGAUAUCACGCCAUUGCACUCCAGCCUGGGCAACAGAGCAAGACUCCAUCUCAA
This 148-nucleotide small RNA is filed under the name Macaca fascicularis (crab-eating macaque). Its description in RNAcentral is "Metazoan signal recognition particle RNA (ENSMFAG00000060060.1)". Lineage: Eukaryota; Metazoa; Chordata; Mammalia; Primates; Cercopithecidae. The record is from Rfam by way of RNAcentral.